AGAAUCAACGCUGGCGGCGUGCCUAACACAUGCAAGUCGAUCGAGAAAGUGGAGCAAUCCAUGAGUAAAGAGGCGCACGGGUGAGUAACACGUGACUAACCUACCUUCGAGUGGGAAUAAACCUGGGGAAACCCGGGCUAAUACCGCAUAAUACCUACGGGUCAAAGGAGCAAUUCGCUUGAAGAGGGGGUCGCGGCAGAUUAGUUAGUUGGCGGGUAAUGGCCCACCAAGACGAUGAUCUGUA
Molecule: ribosomal RNA, 244 nt
Filed under: uncultured bacterium
Lineage: Bacteria
Description: partial small subunit ribosomal RNA
Rfam family: Bacterial small subunit ribosomal RNA
Source: RNAcentral